CCUACGGGAGGCAGCAGUGGGGAAUAUUGGGCAAUGGGCGCAAGCCUGACCCAGCAACGCCGCGUGAAGGAAGAAGGCUUUCGGGUUGUAAACUUCUUUUCUCAGGGACGAAGCAAGUGACGGUACCUGAGGAAUAAGCCACGGCUAACUACGUGCCAGCAGCCGCGGUAAUACGUAGGUGGCAAGCGUUAUCCGGAUUUACUGGGUGUAAAGGGCGUGUAGGCGGGGAAGCAAGUCAGAUGUGAAAACCACGGGCUCAACCUGUGGCCUGCAUUUGAAACUGUUUUUCUUGAGUGCUGGAGAGGCAAUCGGAAUUCCGUGUGUAGCGGUGAAAUGCGUAGAUAUACGGAGGAACACCAGUGGCGAAGGCGGAUUGCUGGACAGUAACUGACGCUGAGGCGCGAAAGCGUGGGGAGCAAACAGGAUUAGAUACCCUAGUAGUC
This 443-nucleotide ribosomal RNA is filed under the name uncultured bacterium. RNAcentral's name for it is "partial 16S ribosomal RNA". It matches the Rfam family "Bacterial small subunit ribosomal RNA", at positions 338 to 795 of the family's 1533-position model. The record is from RNAcentral.